Long non-coding RNA from Labrus bergylta (ballan wrasse), 605 nucleotides. RefSeq lists it as uncharacterized. NCBI's taxonomy places the organism in Eukaryota, Metazoa, Chordata, Actinopteri, Labriformes, Labridae. The record is from RefSeq and is a predicted model, not a curated record.
CCCUUGAAACGGUUACUCCAUUCUCUGUCCUAUCAGUCACCUGCUGGUGUGGGUGCCAAAUUGUAAAAUGUCAAGAUAAAAAAACAAAAACACAGAUAAGUAUUCAAAUUAAGAAAGACUCAUUCAGAAACACCUGACCUACUAUGAUCAGACAAAGUAUCUACUGAGAAGGAAGACCUGUCAAGGCACUGAUCCACAGUGUGGCGCCUCCCUUUAAGCACAUACUGAGACGGAACAGAUGGCAACCUCAACCGGAGAUGCCAUCACUACGACACAGCACACUCAGUGUCAGCAGGAGCAGGUGGAGGGCACUCUGCCACAUGCUGAACCAUCCGUCUGUUGCUGCCUGUCUCCAAAUCCCGCCAGGUACACAGCAUACCAAUCCAGCGAAGUGAGAGAGAGAGGGAGAGGGAGAGAGCGAGACGAGCACUCUGCCGCAAUUUCAAGACAUCGAACAAAACACUUGUGGGAAGAGAAAUCACAGCCAAGACAUCAGACAAAGACUGACUGUGAAGCAGCAGAACGGACAUCUUUGCUGGCUUCAGCUAUUUGUAUUUUCUAGGAUCUGUGAGUUUGUUCACUCCAUGCUGCCAGUUUAUGAAAAA